This is a long non-coding RNA of Nicotiana attenuata, 830 nucleotides long. RefSeq lists it as uncharacterized. The record is from RefSeq and is a predicted model, not a curated record. Lineage: Eukaryota; Viridiplantae; Streptophyta; Magnoliopsida; Solanales; Solanaceae. The transcript is spliced from 2 exons.
UUGGUCAAAAAUUGAAUUAUUCGCGUGUACUUUCUCAAGUUGGCAGGGAGAAUUUUGGCACUUACAAUAGAUAAUUUAUUGAUUUGCUUGACCUUAGCUGCUUAUAGAACAUCCCCACUUUCGCAUAGGUUGUUAACUCCAAGAUUAUAUCAACUCUCUUUUCUCCCAAAGUUUCGUGGACCUCUUCCUCUUUCUCAUUUUUUUUUUUUCAAAAUUCUCAUCUUUGAUCACAGAAGAAACAAAAAAGAUAUGGAGAGGAACAGUGCAUAUGAGAAUUCAUGGGCUGAUCAGUGGGACUACAAUAAUACAGAACCAUAUUCCAAAGACACCAAAAAAAGCAAUUCCGGUGGCGGCGGUGGCAGAGUGGCAAAGAAGGUGGGAGAAAAAACAAAGGCAGUGGCUUCAACUAGCAUGAAGAAGGUGAAAGAAGGUAUUUCUCAACCUCUGAAUGGGUGAAUGUUUUGGUUGAGCAUGUAAGCUGAAACACUAGUGGAAUACAGGCUUUUGGGAGUUUAAAUUAUCUUCUGAUUUUCCUGUUACUUUAGUAUUCUUGUAAUAAAUAUGUAAUUUUCAUGCUAUUCAUCUAUAUGUUUAGAGUGGUGUAGGUAGUUGAAUAUGUAUGCUUCAUUAUCAUGUUAUAGUUAAAUCAGGGUUGUUUAUUGCUUGUGCAGAGUUUUUCUUUUUGUGUUAAUGUAGCCUAUAUGUUAAAUCUGUGUUUCACCUCGGUUUGAAAUCGAUGGGGUGUCAUCUGGUAAAAAUCGUGUGUAAGUUGUUCCAGCAGAAUAUACUUUGCUAAUGCUUUAUUCAGUUUAAAUUGAAGGUUUGAAAGU